UGGGGAAUAUUGGACAAUGGAGGAAACUCUGAUCCAGCAAUCCUGAGUGUGUGAAGAAGGUUUUAGGACUGUAAAACACUUUUAGUAGGGAAGAAAAAAAUGACGGUACCUACAGAAGAAGCAACGGCUAAAUACGUGCCAGCAGCCGCGGUAAUACGUAUGUUGCGAGCGUUAUCCGGAAUUAUUGGGCUUAAAGGGCAUCUAGGCGGUAAGACAAGUUGAAGGUGAAAACCUGUGGCUCAACCAUAGGCUUGCCUACAAAACUGUUGAACUAGAGUACUGGAAAGGUGGGUGGAACUACACGAGUAGAGGUGAAAUUCGUAGAUAUGUGUAGGAAUGCCGAUGAUGAAGAUAACUCACUGGACAGAAACUGACGCUGAAGUGCGAAAGCUAGGGGAGCAAACAGG
Molecule: ribosomal RNA, 407 nt
Filed under: Verrucomicrobiota bacterium
Lineage: Bacteria; Pseudomonadati; Verrucomicrobiota
Description: Verrucomicrobia bacterium partial 16S ribosomal RNA
Rfam family: Bacterial small subunit ribosomal RNA
Source: RNAcentral